This 404-nucleotide ribosomal RNA is filed under the name Fusobacteriota bacterium. RNAcentral's name for it is "Fusobacteria bacterium partial 16S ribosomal RNA". It matches the Rfam family "Bacterial small subunit ribosomal RNA", at positions 355 to 776 of the family's 1533-position model. The record is from RNAcentral. Lineage: Bacteria; Fusobacteriati; Fusobacteriota.
UGGGGAAUAUUGCACAAUGGAGGGAACUCUGAUGCAGCGACGCCGCGUGAGUGAUGAAGGAAUUCGUUUCGUAAAACUCUGUUCUAUGGGAAGAAAAGGACUGUACUAUAGGAGAAAGCUCCGGCUAAAUACGUGCCAGCAGUCGCGGUAAUACGUAUGGAGCGAGCGUUGUCCGGAAUUAUUGGGCGUAAAGGGUGCGCAGGCGGCUUUACAAGUUGGAUGUGAAAUAUUGUGGCUCAACCACAAACGUGCAUCCAAAACUGCAAAGCUUGAGUUAAGGAGAGGUAAGUGGAAUUCCUGGUGUAGCGGUGGGAUGCGUAGAUAUCAGGAGGAAUACCGGUGGCGAGGGCGACUUACGGGACUUAAACUGACGCUCAGACACGAAAGCGUGGGGAGCAAACAGG